Molecule: ribosomal RNA, 254 nt
Filed under: uncultured bacterium
Lineage: Bacteria
Description: partial 16S ribosomal RNA
Rfam family: Bacterial small subunit ribosomal RNA
Source: RNAcentral
UACGUAGGGUGCAAGCGUUGUCCGGAAUUAUUGGGCGUAAAGAGCUCGUAGGCGGCUUGUCGCGUCGGCUGUGAAAACCCGGGGCUCAACUCCGGGCUUGCAUUCGAUACGGGCAGGCUAGAGUUCGGUAGGGGAGUCUGGAAUUCCUGGUGUAGCGGUGAAAUGACGCAGAUAUCAGGAGGAACACCGGUGGCGAAGGCGGGACUCUGGGCCGAUACUGACGCUGAGGAGCGAAAGCGUGGGGAGCGAACAGG